RNAcentral lists this ribosomal RNA (254 nucleotides) under uncultured prokaryote. RNAcentral describes it as "partial 16S ribosomal RNA". It matches the Rfam family "Bacterial small subunit ribosomal RNA", at positions 524 to 777 of the family's 1533-position model. The record is from RNAcentral.
UACGGAGGAUGCAAGCGUUAUCCGGAUUUAUUGGGUUUAAAGGGUGCGCAGGUUGUUUGAUAAGUCAGUGGUGAAAGUCUGUCGCUUAACGGUAGGAUUGCCAUUGAUACUGUUAGACUUGAAUAUGGAUGAGGUAGGCGGAAUGUGUAGUGUAGCGGUGAAAUGCAUAGAUAUCACGAGGAACUCCGAUUGCGCAGGCAGCUUACUAAACUACUACUGACGCUCAGGCACGAAGGCGUGGGGAUCAAACAGGA